This 1208-nucleotide ribosomal RNA is filed under the name Enterococcus faecalis. Its description in RNAcentral is "partial 23S ribosomal RNA". It matches the Rfam family "Bacterial large subunit ribosomal RNA", at positions 321 to 1530 of the family's 2925-position model. Lineage: Bacteria; Bacillati; Bacillota; Bacilli; Lactobacillales; Enterococcaceae. The record is from RNAcentral.
CUGUUAGUAUAGUUGAAGGAUUUGGAAAAUUCCGCUAAAGAGGGUGAAAGCCCCGUAGACGAAAUGCUGACAACACCUAGGAGGAUCCUGAGUACGGCGGAACACGAGAAAUUCCGUCGGAAUCCGCGGGGACCAUCCCGCAAGGCUAAAUACUCCCUAGUGACCGAUAGUGAACCAGUACCGUGAGGGAAAGGUGAAAAGCACCCCGGAAGGGGAGUGAAAUAGAUCCUGAAACCGUGUGCCUACAACAAGUCAAAGCUCGUUAAUGAGUGAUGGCGUGCCUUUUGUAGAAUGAACCGGCGAGUUACGAUUGCAUGCGAGGUUAAGUCGAAGAGACGGAGCCGCAGCGAAAGCGAGUCUGAAUAGGGCGAAUGAGUAUGUAGUCGUAGACCCGAAACCAUGUGAUCUACCCAUGUCCAGGUUGAAGGUGCGGUAAAACGCACUGGAGGACCGAACCCACGUACGUUGAAAAGUGCGGGGAUGAGGUGUGGGUAGCGGAGAAAUUCCAAACGAACUUGGAGAUAGCUGGUUCUCUCCGAAAUAGCUUUAGGGCUAGCCUCGGAAUUGAGAAUGAUGGAGGUAGAGCACUGUUUGGACUAGGGGCCCAUCUCGGGUUACCGAAUUCAGAUAAACUCCGAAUGCCAUUCAUUUAUAUCCGGGAGUCAGACUGCGAGUGAUAAGAUCCGUAGUCGAAAGGGAAACAGCCCAGACCACCAGCUAAGGUCCCAAAAUAUAUGUUAAGUGGAAAAGGAUGUGGGGUUGCACAGACAACUAGGAUGUUGGCUUAGAAGCAGCCACCAUUUAAAGAGUGCGUAAUAGCUCACUAGUCGAGUGACCCUGCGCCGAAAAUGUACCGGGGCUAAACAUAUUACCGAAGCUGUGGACUACACCAUUAGGUGUAGUGGUAGGAGAGCGUUCUAAGGGCGUUGAAGGUCGAUCGUGAGGACGGCUGGAGCGCUUAGAAGUGAGAAUGCCGGUAUGAGUAGCGAAAGACAGGUGAGAAUCCUGUCCACCGUAUGACUAAGGUUUCCUGGGGAAGGCUCGUCCGCCCAGGGUUAGUCGGGACCUAAGCCGAGGCCGAUAGGCGUAGGCGAUGGACAACAGGUUGAUAUUCCUGUACCAGUUGUUUUUGUUUGAGCAAUGGAGGGACGCAGUAGGCUAAGGAAUGCAUGCGAUUGGAAGUGCAUGUCCAAGCAAUGAGUCUUGAG